AGAGUUUGAUCCUGGCUCAGAAUCAACGCUGGCGGCGUGCCUAACACAUGCAAGUCGAACGAGAAAGUGGAGCAAUCCAUGAGUAAAAGUGGCGCACGGGGUGAGUAACACGUGACUAACCUACCCUUGAGUGGGGGAUAACCUAGGGAAACCUGGGGCUAAUACCGGCAUAAUACCUUCGGGGUCAAAAGGAGCAAUUCGCUUAAGGAGGGGGGUCGCGGCCGAUUAGUUAGUUGGCGGGGUAAUGGCCCACCAAGACUGUGAUCGGUAUCCGGCCUGAGAGGGCGCACGGACACACUGGAACUGAAACACGGUCCAGACUCCUACGGGAGGCAGCAGUGGGGAAUUUUGCGCAAUGGGGGAAACCCUGACGCAGCAACGCCGCGUGGAGGAUGAAGCCCCUUGGGGCGUAAACUCCUUUCGAUCGGGACGAUUAUGACGGUACCGGAAGAAGAAGCCCCGGCUAACUUCGUGCCAGCAGCCGCGGUAAUACGAGGGGGGCGAGCGUUGUUCGGAAUUAUUGGGCGUAAAGGGUGCGUAGGCGGUUCAGUAAGUCUUGUGUGAAAUCUUCGGGCUCAACUCGAAGUCUGCAUGAGAAACUGCUGGGCUUGAGUAUGGGAGAGGUGAGUGGAAUUCCCGGUGUAGCGGUGAAAUGCGUAGAUAUCGGGUCGACUCACUAUGGGAGAGCGGCUCACUGGUCCAUAACAGACGUUGAGGCACGAAAGAUAGUGGAGCAAACAGGAUUAGAUACCCUGGUAGUCCUAUCCUUAACCGAUGAUCGCUUGGUGUGACGAGUAUCCAAUUGCCCCAAGCCGAAGCUAAC
This 823-nucleotide ribosomal RNA is filed under the name uncultured bacterium. Its description in RNAcentral is "bacterial SSU rRNA". It matches the Rfam family "Bacterial small subunit ribosomal RNA", at positions 8 to 856 of the family's 1533-position model. The record is from RNAcentral.